CCAGGAAUCAAACUCACGACCUUGCGCUGGCUGGGCAGGCGCUGUGCCACUGAGCUCAAUUCCCAGCCCCUUAAUCAUCUGAUUUUAUUAGUGUAUGUUGGCAGUUCAUGAUGUUUACAUUCAUUUUAGAGAGUGGAGCCGUGGUAGAUGCUGACAUUAUACUGUCCCUCCCCACACAAAGGAAAUUGGCUAAGAAGCUGAAUAACUUGGCUGUGGAGCUGAUAGAGUACAAAAGCCAGCUCAGUGCUUGGGAAAGGAGAAUUUCCCUGUGAGACGAGUGUGCAGAAGCCUUUCGAGGGCAGCUAACCUGGGGUGAGAGUUGGUGCUUG
RNAcentral lists this long non-coding RNA (329 nucleotides) under Chinchilla lanigera (long-tailed chinchilla). RNAcentral describes it as "lncRNA (ENSCLAG00000028614.1)". Lineage: Eukaryota; Metazoa; Chordata; Mammalia; Rodentia; Chinchillidae. The record is from RNAcentral.